RNAcentral lists this unclassified non-coding RNA (368 nucleotides) under soil metagenome. RNAcentral describes it as "partial contains 5.8S ribosomal RNA, internal transcribed spacer 2, and large subunit ribosomal RNA". The stretch from base 1 to 120 matches the Rfam family "5.8S ribosomal RNA", at positions 35 to 154 of the family's 154-position model. The record is from RNAcentral.
GAUGAAGAACGUAGCGAAAUGCGAUAAGUAAUGUGAAUUGCAGAAUUCAGUGAACCAUCGAAUCUUUGAACGCACAUUGCGCCCGGCAGUAAUCUGCCGGGCAUGCCUGUCCGAGCGUCAUUUCUGCCCUCGAGCGAGUCCAGCAUCUAGGUGCUGGGCCCGCCCGGCGUUGGGGCACUACGGGAAGCCCUGUGCUGUCCCCCGUAGGCCCCGAAAUGAAGUGGCGGUCCUGCCGCGGCGCCCCCUGCGUAGUAUAACAGCUCGCUUCGGGACCCGGUGGAGGCCUGCCGUCAAACCGUACUCUCUAAGUUUGACCUCGGAUCAGGUAGGGUUACCCGCUGAACUUAAGCAUAUCAAUAAGCGGAGGA